This 477-nucleotide ribosomal RNA is filed under the name Neoniphon sammara (Sammara squirrelfish). Its description in RNAcentral is "partial small subunit ribosomal RNA". It matches the Rfam family "Bacterial small subunit ribosomal RNA", at positions 788 to 1491 of the family's 1533-position model. Lineage: Eukaryota; Metazoa; Chordata; Actinopteri; Holocentriformes; Holocentridae. The record is from RNAcentral.
CACUAUGCUUAGCCGUAAACAUUGAUAGUGUUACACUCCACUAUCCGCCCGGGAACUACGAGCAAUAGCUUAAAACCCAAAGGACUUGGCGGUGCUUUAGAUCCACUUAGAGGAGCCUGUUCUAGAACCGAUAAUCCCCGUUCAACCUCACCUUUCCUAGUUUAACCCGCCUAUAUACCGCCGUCGCCAGCUUACCCUGUGAAGGUCCUAUAGUAAGCAAAGAUGAAAAAAAUCCAGAACGUCAGGUCGAGGUGUAGCGCAUGGAAAGGGAAGAAAUGGGCUACAUUCCCUACUUCAGGGAAUACGAAUAAUACACUGAAACGUGCAUUUGAAGGAGGAUUUAAUAGUAAAUAGAAACCAGAAUGUCCUACUGAAACCGGCACUGAAGCGCGCACACACCGCCCGUCACUCUCCCCAAACUCUAACUACCAAUCCUUACCUAAACUGUUAUACAUGAAAAGGGGAGGCAAGUCGUAA